AUCCAGAUGACGAGUCCCAAAUAGGACAAGUGAAAUGCGCAUCCUGGAU
This 49-nucleotide non-coding RNA is filed under the name Trichobilharzia regenti. The record is from RNAcentral. Lineage: Eukaryota; Metazoa; Platyhelminthes; Trematoda; Strigeidida; Schistosomatidae.